GCUAGUGUGGUGUAGCGGUUUGAGCAUUAGUCUACAACUCUGGAGACCAGGGUUCAAAUCCCUAUUUGAGCA
Molecule: transfer RNA, 72 nt
Filed under: Phrynosoma platyrhinos (Desert horned lizard)
Lineage: Eukaryota; Metazoa; Chordata; Lepidosauria; Squamata; Phrynosomatidae
Description: tRNA-OTHER
Source: RNAcentral